Molecule: ribosomal RNA, 497 nt
Filed under: uncultured bacterium
Lineage: Bacteria
Description: partial 16S ribosomal RNA
Rfam family: Bacterial small subunit ribosomal RNA
Source: RNAcentral
GAUGAACGCUGGCGGCGUGCCUAAUACAUGCAAGUCGAGCGAACAGAUGAGGAGCUUGCUCCUCUGACGUUAGCGGCGGACGGGUGAGUAACACGUGGAUAACCUUCCUCUAAGACUGGGAUAAUUUCGGGAAACCGGAGCUAAUACCGGCUCAUAUAUUGAACCGCAUGGUUCAAUAGUGAAAGACGGUUUUGCUGUCACUUAUAGCUGGAUCCGCGCCGCAUGAGCUAGUUGGUAAGGUAACGGCUUACCAAGGCAACGAUGCGUAGCCGACCUGAGAGGGUGAUCGGCCACACUGGAACUGAGACACGGUCCAGACUCCUACGGGAGGCAGCAGUAGGGAAUCUUCCGCAAUGGGCGAAAGCCUGACGGAGCAACGCCGCGUGAGUGAUGAAGGUCUUCGGAUCGUAAAACUCUGUUAUUAGGGAAGAACAAAUGUGUAAGUAACUAUGCACGUCUUGACGGUACCUAAUCAGAAAGCCACGGCUAACUACGUG